GUGCCAGCAGCCGCGGUAACACGGGGGGAGCAAGCGUUGUUCGGAAUCACUGGGCGUAAAGGGCGUCUAGGCGGUACGGUAAGUGGGAUGUGAAAGCCCCCGGCUCACCCGGGGAUCUGCAUUCCAAACUGCCGAACUUGAGUAUGGGAGAGGACAGGGGAAUUCCUGGUGUAGCGGUGAAAUGCGUAGAUAUCAGGAGGAACACCGGUGGCGAAAGCGCCUGUCUGGCCCAAUACUGACGCUGAAGCGCGAAAGCUAGGGGAGCAAACGGGAUUAGAUACCCCGGUAGUCC
This 292-nucleotide ribosomal RNA is filed under the name uncultured bacterium. RNAcentral describes it as "partial 16S ribosomal RNA". It matches the Rfam family "Bacterial small subunit ribosomal RNA", at positions 505 to 796 of the family's 1533-position model. The record is from RNAcentral.